Molecule: ribosomal RNA, 329 nt
Filed under: uncultured eukaryote
Lineage: Eukaryota
Description: partial 18S ribosomal RNA
Rfam family: Eukaryotic small subunit ribosomal RNA
Source: RNAcentral
CCCUUAGAUGUCCUGGGCCGCACGCGCGCUACACUGAGUGUCUGAGAUACGAGUCUGCCUGGUCCGGCAAGGUCUAGGUAAUCGCUAAAAGACACAUCAUGCUUGGGAUAGAUUUUUGCAAAUAUUAAUCUUGAACGAGGAAUUCCUAGUAAGCGCAAGUCAACAGCUUGCGUUGAUUACGUCCCUGCCCUUUGUACACACCGCCCGUCGCUACUACUGAUUGGAUGUUUAAGCGAGGUUCUCGAACUGCUAGCGACUUAGCUUCGGUGAGGUCGCAGUGUGGGAAGUGAACCUAGCUUUGGUGUCUAGAGGAAGUAAAAGUCGUAACA